UACUGUAACCAAGAUUCGAACCUGAGUUAUUGUGGCCACAACGAACUGUCCUAACCACUAGACUAUCAUGGC
RNAcentral lists this transfer RNA (72 nucleotides) under Cordylochernes scorpioides. RNAcentral's name for it is "tRNA-OTHER". Lineage: Eukaryota; Metazoa; Arthropoda; Arachnida; Pseudoscorpiones; Chernetidae. The record is from RNAcentral.